UACAGAGGUCUCGAGCGUUAGGCGGAAUCACUGGGCUUAAAGCGUGUGUAGGCGGAUCGUUAAGUGCCUUGUGAAAUCCCACGGCUCAACCGUGGAACUGCUUGGUAUACUGGCGGUCUUGAGCAACCUAGGGGCGAGCGGAACAAAUGGUGGAGCGGUGAAAUGCGUAGAUAUCAUUUGGAACGCCAAUGGUGAAAACAGCUCGCUGGGGGUUUGCUGACGCUGAGACACGAAAGCCAGGGGAGCAAACGGG
This 253-nucleotide ribosomal RNA is filed under the name uncultured bacterium. RNAcentral describes it as "partial 16S ribosomal RNA". It matches the Rfam family "Bacterial small subunit ribosomal RNA", at positions 524 to 776 of the family's 1533-position model. The record is from RNAcentral.